RNAcentral lists this small RNA (262 nucleotides) under Microtus ochrogaster (prairie vole). RNAcentral's name for it is "7SK RNA (ENSMOCG00000009207.1)". It matches the Rfam family "7SK RNA", at positions 1 to 251 of the family's 331-position model. From Rfam's summary of the family: 7SK was discovered as an abundant small nuclear RNA in the mid-70s but a possible function has only recently been suggested. Two independent studies have found that 7SK RNA binds the CDK9/cyclin T complex (known as elongation factor P-TEFb). Lineage: Eukaryota; Metazoa; Chordata; Mammalia; Rodentia; Cricetidae. The record is from RNAcentral.
GGAGAUGUGGUUGUUACACCUGUGACAUCUGCCAUCCCAUUUCCAUCAGGGUUCAUUUGGAUGAUCUGGCGGGCUAGCUCAGUUUUACAUUCUUCCCUCAUGGCUCCAUGUGCGUCCUUCCUGAAGCUGGGCCUUUGGUGGAAGAAGAUGACCUUGCCCUUUAGAGAAGGGUUGUUAUUUGGUCCAGAGUAAAUGAGCCACUGUACUUCUCUAUCAGAGCCUCCAAAUAAGCAGAACCAGGUCACAAAUGUCAAGUCUUGCC